GUCCUAAUAGCAUUGGUCUUCUGUUGCUUGGUUGUGGAUGAGUCCUAGGUGCCCACGUUAAUUGUUUGUUGAACCUGAACGAAACUGCCGGUGGUGGGGAGAAGUGGAGCAUGAGGGUUCCUUGGGAGUGUCUUGCGGCGCCGAGGAUUACACUGUGAACCAUCUGGAACUAAUAGGCCAUCCAGGUGGGAAAGAUGCCCAUCUAUGCAAUGCGAAGGCUCCCAAGGUUUGUCCUUCGGCAAUGUCACUGUGUCCGGUUGCAGUCGAUCGACAUGUGCCUAUGCCGGCUAUAACAACUCAACCAUCUUCACUACCCUGGCUCAGGACCGGGAUCCAACUUGUUCGAACAAUGACGUCUUGAGAAUCGGUCAAAUUAGAACAUUAUU
Hibiscus syriacus is the source of this 386-nucleotide RNA transcript. It is a transcript of the gene named lysM domain-containing GPI-anchored protein 2-like, with no coding region annotated. The transcript is spliced from 3 exons. The record is from RefSeq and is a predicted model, not a curated record. NCBI's taxonomy places the organism in Eukaryota, Viridiplantae, Streptophyta, Magnoliopsida, Malvales, Malvaceae.